Molecule: ribosomal RNA, 253 nt
Filed under: uncultured bacterium
Lineage: Bacteria
Description: partial 16S ribosomal RNA
Rfam family: Bacterial small subunit ribosomal RNA
Source: RNAcentral
UACGUAGGGUCCGAGCGUUGUCCGGAAUUACUGGGCGUAAAGGGCUCGUAGGCGGCCAACUAAGUCAGACGUGAAAUCCCUCGGCUUAACCGGGGAACUGCGUCUGAUACUGGAUGGCUUGAGUUUGGGAGAGGGAUGCGGAAUUCCAGGUGUAGCGGUGAAAUGCGUAGAUAUCAGUCGGAACACCGGUGGCGAAGGCGGCUUCUUGGGCCGUUACUGACGCUGAGGCGCGAAAGCCAGGGGAGCGAACGGG